UGCAAGCCCAUUUCUUAGCUGGAUGGGUGAAGUGUUCCCUCAGUUCACAUAGACCAGGCUUCCUCUUUAGAGGCAUAAGCUGUAAAACAGGAGAGUCUGUUUUAAGAGGAUCUGUUUGAAGUUUAAUGUAACUGAAGUCCAUGCACCUGAAGCCAUUAAUUGAUAUAAGUGAAGUAAGUCUUUGGGUUUCCGGUAGCUCUGACUCAGAUUCUGCUUGCCUCUUCUCCAUGAGAUUACCAAGGCAUCAGGGCAGAGACUCCCUGAGGAUGAGUGGAUCUGGUUCAGAACAUCUGUGAACACAGAGGGAGUGGAAACUUCACUUUCAACAUCAUCAGCCAACUUCCCUCCCAUUACAAUUCUAUCUCAAGAUCAAGGUCAUGCAACAAAACCAGCAGGUGUCAAGACAUUUUAAGAUGUUGUCAAUUUGCCAAGGAAAUGAAAGAUUGUUGUGAAUAUGGCAAGAUGUGAAAACAAUGGAGGACUAGGUUUGGUAUUAGUGAGGCAGAUAUUUGUCAUUGGAGGAAAUACUACAAUUCCAUAUUUUCUUUGAGAGCAACUACAAAAUUCAUUUUGCAACAUAAGAAAGGAAGGUGCUCACAAGUGACAGAGCUGUGAUGUCUUGUUACUGAGCAAUGUGCAAAAUGCUG
This 647-nucleotide long non-coding RNA is filed under the name Homo sapiens (human). RNAcentral's name for it is "HSALNT0347113". The record is from RNAcentral. Lineage: Eukaryota; Metazoa; Chordata; Mammalia; Primates; Hominidae.